Molecule: long non-coding RNA, 3906 nt
Organism: Onychostoma macrolepis
Lineage: Eukaryota; Metazoa; Chordata; Actinopteri; Cypriniformes; Cyprinidae
Exons: 6
Source: RefSeq, a predicted model, not a curated record
GCACGUGUUGGAAAUAUAACGGCCCUUUCCAUAAUCGCGACCUUCAACUUUCAAGUUAAUUUUAUCAGUUCAAGCCCAAAAGGGGAACAGAUAGUGUUACAGACACAGUGAUGAUGCUCGUAUGUAUUUUCAGUACACAAGCCGCGGUUAAGACUAUUUCUGAUGGGCUGUACACUCCGCUGUGAUGUGACCCUGUUCCCCUAUGAAGCACAAACACAAGUGCAUAACGACAACGGCUUGAAUCUGCUGCUACGAGUCUCAGAUGCUGUUUUUCACUUGCAAAUGACAAGUUUCGCACUCUCCUUUUGCACCACAUAUCUGUGUGACAAAUGGAGCAAAAGUGAUUUGUGCAUCUGUAGAGGCAGCGGCGGCCCUCUGCAGAGAUCAGAGAAGUUCGGCCAAUCAGAAGAGCUACACUGUAUCAGGUUUUUGUUAUUCUUUAUAGUUCUUCGGUUUUUUAUGAUCAAGUUUGUGGAUCUUAUCGUCUGCAACGUCGAGGGUGUAUUUUGGAGCCAUCGCGACAGUGAUUACAUCAGCUGGUUUUAGUCUAUUGGUAAUGUCACUUGCAACGGAGGUGUAUUGGAGUGUUUUCCUGUGAUUGAAUCAUGGAGGUGGUAACAACAGGAGAUUGCUCCAAGCAAAAACAGGGAUGCUGACUAUGAAGGGCAGAAUCACAAUAUUGCCAGCUGUCAAUUUGAUUCAAAUUAGUUUGUGGUCUGGAUCAUGUCAUCUGCAAUACAUUCCAGUUGGAGGCUUUUUUUGUGAUUGCUAUUGUGACAGGAAUGACAUCAACUGGUAGGUUAGCCGAAGUAAACUAGUUAGUUUUUUUUUUUUUUUUUUUAAUCGUUAUCCAUUCCCUUGAUAAUCAACCCCAUUAUUUCAGCAAUAUAACACUAAGCUCACAAUGUCAAAUGCAGAAACGUUAAUUCAUACGUUCAUGACCUCGAGGCUAGAUUAUUGUAAUGCUUUAUUGGGUGGUUGCUCUGCACAUUUAAUAAACAAACUCCAGUUGGUCCAAAAUGCAGCAGCUAGAGUUCUUACUAGAACCAGGAAGUAUGACCAUAUUAGCCCGGUUCUGUCAACACUGCACUGGCUCCCUAUCAAACAUCGGAUAGAUUUUAAAAUCUUGUUAAUUACUCCUCAGUACUUGAGCGAGCUCUUAUCACAUUAUAGUCCUCCAUGUCUGCUGCGUUCUCAAAACUCUGGCCGUUUGAUAAUACCUAGAAUAUCAAAACUGUGGGCGGCAGAUCCUAUUCCUAUUUAGCACCCAAACUCUGGAACAGUCUACCUAACACUGUUCGGGAGGCAGACACACUCGGUCAGUUUAAAUCUAGAUUAAAGACCCAUCUCUUUAGCCUGGCUUACAUAUAACACACUAAUACGCUUCUAUUAUUCAAAUCCGUUAAAGGAUUGUUAGGCUGCAUUAAUUAGAUCAACCGGAACCGGUUUACACUUCCCAUAACACACAAAGUACUCGUUACACCGUUAGAAGAAUGGUAUCUACGUUAAUAUUAGUCUGUUUCUUUCUUAUUCCGAGAUCACCGUAGCCACCCGAUCCAGUCCGUAUCCAGAUCAGAUGGUGGAUCAACACUUAGAGAUGACCUCUACAGCCCUGAACGUCAGAGAUCAGGACACCUAGAUGAGCCCCAGAGACUGAUCCCCAGUGAAGACCCUGUCCCCUAGACGGCCAUCGGGACAGGACCACGGGAACCAGAUGAGUCCUCUGCACAAUCUGACUCUGCUGCAGCAUGGAACAACCUGCUGGUUCAUUCCGAGUAUCAACCCUGGUGGCAUACCAUUCAGAGUCACAGAUUAGAUGGAGUUCUGGGAAGAGGGUGCAAAGACAAAGCAUCAGCCUGAAUCCCCUCGUGGUGUUUCUCAUCAGAGAGCUUGUCAACUUUGCCAAAAUUACUGAAAUUUAACACAAUACAAACACAUUUUUACUGUAUUUUUAUUUCUGUGAAGUCUGUUUUGCCAUGCUGCAGACACAAAGUCCCCAGGGGACUGUGGUGAUGCCCUUUUUCAGCUAGCACAUGCUGGAGAUGAAGAUUUGUAAUUUGUAUUUUUAAAAAGAACAUGUUCAACAAUUAAAAAGAAUAUUAUAAAGACAAAUGCUAAUGAGUUAGUGAUCUUUAUGGGGUUGGGGUUGUAAAAUAAUAUGGUAUACAGUGUUGUACUGCAAUUAGAUUGUUUCAUACAAGUAAACAUUUUAAAUGAACUAAACAGUACUAAUAUUGACAAUACAGGAACUUUAAAUGAGAAUACAGUAAUACAUUCAGCUACUGUAAAAAUUUACAGCAAUCUCUUUACAGUGUAGUUUAGGUGCAUAUCCGUUGGCACCUGAAAGAGCAGGGGGUAAUAAUAAAAUAAUAAUAAAAGCUGCGAGCAUCUUCCGGAGCGGACAGCAGCAAAUACCAAUAAAGGUACAUUUUCUUUCUUUUUCUGAAAUCACUCACUGUUAUACUGUACAUUUGUUCAUAAUUUAAAUAUAUAUAUAUUAACAAAUAUAUUUAAUCGUCUUGUAUAUGACACUCUCAUAGUAAUUUAUUUAAUUAACGGGUUUAUCUUUUAUGAAGCCUCUUUGUGAGUUGAAGCAGGGAUGGGCAAACUAUAAAAUAUGUUGUUAGUAACAUUCUAAAAUAACUGUAUGUGGAAGAUACACAGUUACAACUUCUGUGGGGUGUAACUAAUUACUGUUGCCAGAAAGUAAUAAGUAAAGUAACAAUGUUACUUUUUAAAGGAAUAAGUAAUAUAUUGCAUUCUUUGAGUAACAAGCCCAACACUGAUUGUUACUUUACUUUGCAACGGUAAUUAGUUACUAGUUGCAUUACUUUUUAAUAACAUAUUUUUGCCUCAUCAUUUGACCAAAAUCCACAUUGGAUCGCAGUCAGAAGUUAUUACCAACACUCAAAAGUGAUUGAUAGUGACAUUCAAGUAGAAGUGUUGUAUUAAUCUCAUUAAUUGUCAUGUGCAGCUUGAAGCUAAUUGUAAUUUCUAUACAUUUCAUUAUGUAUUUUAUCAAAUCACAUAAGUUUGUAAGAAACGGUUUAAUUUUUUAAAAAGAUUUUAAAUAAUAGUAAUAUAAUGUAGCACAUGCUGGUCAGAGGGAUGUAAUGCGAGAGUAAAGUACAGCCACAACUUACACAGCAGUGUUCAAAUCAUCUUUUUUCCUAACAAAAUCAAUAUAAUGCAAUAUUUCUAUCUGCUAAAUGUAAGCUUUUCCAUAUUGCAAGCUUGCCUGCUGCACUGGGGACAUCACAUGCAUGUGUGAGUCAUGAAAAUUAUGAAAAUAAAUCUAGGAAUUAUUUGAUUGUUGGAUUUUUUAAUCAGCGGUGUUGAGCCAUAAAAGUAACUAAGCUGUUUUAUGGAUGGCACCUGUACUAUUAUUACUGUCUUAACUUAUUAGUAAUUAGUUACACUACUAGUUACUGCAAAAAGUAAUAUUAUUACAGUAACUAAAAGUUACGUUACUGCCCAACACUGAUUAGGACUACUAGAACUAGAAGGCUACAGGUAGGUGAGUUUUAUCAGGGUUGGAGCUAAACUCAUUUAAUAUUUAAACUAUAAACAAAUAUACUGUACAGUAUAACAGUGAGUGAUUUCAGAAAAAGUAAGAAAAAAAGCAUACCUUUAUUAGUUUCCGCUCUCCGCUCCGGAAGAUGCUCACAGCUCGCAAAUGUUUUUUUUUAUUUUUCCUCCCCGCUGAUAGGCGCCCAAACUAGCUCUUCUGAUUGGCCGAACUUCUCUGAUCUCUGCAGAGGGCCGCCGCUGCCUCUACAGAUGCACAAAUCACUUUUGCUCCAUUUGUCACACAGAUAUGUGGUGCAAAAGGGAGAGUGCGCGAAACUUGUCAUUUGCAAGUGAAAAACAGCAUCUGAGACUCGUAGCAGCAGAUUCAAGCCGUUG